This 1357-nucleotide unclassified non-coding RNA is filed under the name Hevea brasiliensis (rubber tree). The record is from RNAcentral. Lineage: Eukaryota; Viridiplantae; Streptophyta; Magnoliopsida; Malpighiales; Euphorbiaceae.
AGAAAAUAUGUGUAUGCAUGUACAUUCUCAUAUGAAUAUCUAUAUGCAUGUAUAUAAAGUUGUUGAGUUAAUUCUAGCUUCUGUUUGGAUUUCAACUGAAUGACUUCUACUUGCUGCUGCCUUACAAAUAGGUUUUCCUAUUCUAAACAAUUUCAAGUUGUGUGUAAUUUGUGAAUGCUAAAUUCCUCAUGAUUCUUUUGUUCUGUACUCCUAUUAAGUGAGAACCAAUAUACCUUCUUAUGAAUAAUGUGUACAACUUUUAAGCUAAGAUCUCAACUGCAUUCUAAAUGAAGCCAAAAUAUGCAUUUUUUGCAGGCUUUGCUCAAAUGGGCUUCCGAGUGAUGUCAUUGUGGAAGUUGGAGAAAUGUCAUUUCAUCUCCACAAGUUUCCAUUGCUUUCCAGAAGUAUAGUGCUAGAAGAUCUAAUUGGACAAUGUUGUGGUGAGGAUGGGAAAAGGUGUCUUCUGCGACUUGAUGAUAUACCUGGUGGAGCUAAAACCUUCUUGCUUGUAGCCAAAUUCUGCUAUGGAGUAAAAAUAGAACUCUCUGCUCUGAAUAUAGUCAGUCUUAGAUGUGCUGCCGAGUAUCUUCAAAUGAGUGAAGACCAUGGAGAGGGAAAUCUCAUCACACAAACAGAAAUUUUUCUCAAUGAAAUCUUUGGCAACUGGAGGGACUCACUUAAAGCUCUUGAAACCUGUGAAGAGGUUUUCUCACAUGCAGAAGAGAUUCAUAUUGUUUCAAGAUGCAUCAAUUCCCUGGCAAUGAAAGCUUGUGCAGAUCCAAGUUUAUUCAGUUGGCCCAUGUCAGGAUGCGAAAAUGUAAAGAGCCCAGAAGGUACUGUAUUUUGGAAUGGGAUACGUACUUCUGCUAAGCCACAACCUGUGGGUGAGGAUUGGUGGUAUGAUGAUGUCUCAUUCCUUAGCUUACCUUUGUUCAAAAGGCUGCUUCUGGCAGUUGGUUCAAAUGGCAUGAAACCGGAGAAGGUUGUUGGAUCAUUAAUGUAUUAUGCAAGGAGACAUCUUCCUUUGUUGGGUAGGCAAUCAAGCAUCGAGAGUGGUAACCAUGCUACUCCUGGAUCAACUAUUUCAACUGCAGCUGAUGCUGAUCAAAGGAAUCUCCUUGAAGAAUUGGUGGAAUUAUUACCUGAUCAAAAGGGUGUCACACCCAGCAAGUUCCUUCUUAGGCUUCUGCGAACAGCCAUGAUUUUGCAUGCCAGUCCAUCAUGUCGAGAGAACUUAGAGAAAAGGAUUGGGUCUCAGUUGGAUCAAGCAGCUCUUGAAGAUAUAAUGAUACCAAACAUUGGGUACUCAAUUGAAACUCUAUAUGAUAUUGACUGUGUUCAGAGGAUUCUUGAUCAU